RNAcentral lists this ribosomal RNA (421 nucleotides) under uncultured bacterium. RNAcentral describes it as "bacterial SSU rRNA". It matches the Rfam family "Bacterial small subunit ribosomal RNA", at positions 355 to 774 of the family's 1533-position model. The record is from RNAcentral.
UAAGGAAUAUUGGUCAAUGGACGAAAGUCUGAACCAGCCAUGCCGCGUGGAGGAUGAAGGCCCUCUGGGUUGUAAACUUCUUUUAUAGGGGACGAAAAAGGGUCUUUCUAGAUCAACUGACGGUACCCUAGGAAUAAGCACCGGCUAACUCCGUGCCAGCAGCCGCGGUAAUACGGAGGGUGCAAGCGUUAUCCGGAUUCACUGGGUUUAAAGGGUGCGUAGGUGGGUCAGUAGUCAGUGGUGAAAUCUUCGAGCUUAACUCGGAAACUGCCAUUGAUACUAUUAGUCUUGUAUAUUGUGGAGGUUAGCGGAAUAUGUCAUGUAGCGGUGAAAUGCUUAGAUAUGACAUAGGACACCAAUUGCGAAGGCAGCUGGCUACACAUAUAUUGACACUGAGGCACGAAAGCGUGGGGAUCAAACA